UCAUCGUGCAAAAUGGGUUACAGUUUAUAGGGAUUAACUUAAUAUGAAGUUACACUUACAUCUUUGUAAUAGUUCCAGAGAUUUAAAAAUCAUGGCCGUAUUAUGAAUUUAUAUAGUCUUGCUUAGAUAGCUACACUUGCUUUAGUCCUUAUUGGAAGCAUUGAUCUCAGACACAAUAAGAGUUAUGGGUUCUCCAUUUGAUAGUAUGCAUUGAAUAAAUUCCGAAGUCUAUAAUAUAAUUGGACACAGUGAAUUGUGUUAUUAUAGAUUACAUAACAAAACCAUAUAAAUAGAAGAGUUGUUUUCACAAGUACUAUACAUUUUUGAAAGCUGUUUAAUAAAGAACAGAAUGAUAUCAUUUGGAAUAUUCUUCUUGCUGACUUUGCUGUCUUCUGUAUGGAGCCAGGAUUGUUCACAGUUGACAGGGCAAGAAGUGUAUUAUUGUUAUCAAGAGCUUGCUCGGCGACAAAAUAGUGGAUAUAAUGGAUAUAAUGGAUACAAUGGAUAGUUUUUUGUAUUAUUCCUUGCUAUUGUGAUAGUGAUUAAAGGAAACGGAACUAAAAUAAACAAUAAAUUUUUAAAGCUGCUAAACUA
Long non-coding RNA from Drosophila sulfurigaster albostrigata, 594 nucleotides. RefSeq lists it as uncharacterized. NCBI's taxonomy places the organism in Eukaryota, Metazoa, Arthropoda, Insecta, Diptera, Drosophilidae. The record is from RefSeq and is a predicted model, not a curated record. The transcript is spliced from 2 exons.